This 513-nucleotide ribosomal RNA is filed under the name uncultured bacterium. RNAcentral's name for it is "bacterial SSU rRNA". It matches the Rfam family "Bacterial small subunit ribosomal RNA", at positions 1001 to 1511 of the family's 1533-position model. The record is from RNAcentral.
UAGAGAUAGAGUCUUCCCCUUCGGGGGACAAAGUGACAGGUGGUGCAUGGUUGUCGUCAGCUCGUGUCGUGAGAUGUUGGGUUAAGUCCCGCAACGAGCGCAACCCUUAAGCUUAGUUGCCAGCAUUAAGUUGGGCACUCUAAGUUGACUGCCGGUGACAAACCGGAGGAAGGUGGGGAUGACGUCAAAUCAUCAUGCCCCUUAUGAUUUGGGCUACACACGUGCUACAAUGGACAAUACAAAGGGCAGCUAAACCGCGAGGUCAUGCAAAUCCCAUAAAGUUGUUCUCAGUUCGGAUUGUAGUCUGCAACUCGACUACAUGAAGCUGGAAUCGCUAGUAAUCGUAGAUCAGCAUGCUACGGUGAAUACGUUCCCGGGUCUUGUACACACCGCCCGUCACACCACGAGAGUCUGUAACACCCGAAGCCGGUGGAGUAACCAUUUAUGGAGCUAGCCGUCGAAGGUGGGACAAAUGAUUGGGGUGAAGUCGUAACAAGGUAGCCGUAUCGGAAG